AGCGAACGCUGGCGGCAGGCUUAACACAUGCAAGUCGAGCGGGCAUCUUCGGAUGUCAGCGGCAGACGGGUGAGUAACACGUGGGAACGUACCCUUCGGUUCGGAACAACUCUGGGAAACUGGAGCUAAUACCGGAUACGCCCUUAUGGAGAAAGGUUUACUGCCGAAGGAUCGGCCCGCGUCUGAUUAGCUAGUUGGUGGGGUAACGGCCUACCAAGGCGACGAUCAGUAGCUGGUCUGAGAGGAUGAUCAGCCACACUGGGACUGAGACACGGCCCAGACUCCUACGGGAGGCAGCAGUGGGGAAUAUUGGACAAUGGGCGCAAGCCUGAUCCAGCCAUGCCGCGUGAGUGAUGAAGGCCUUAGGGUUGUAAAGCUCUUUUGUCCGGGACGAUAAUGACGGUACCGGAAGAAUAAGCCCCGGCUAACUUCGUG
This 435-nucleotide ribosomal RNA is filed under the name uncultured bacterium. RNAcentral describes it as "partial 16S ribosomal RNA". It matches the Rfam family "Bacterial small subunit ribosomal RNA", at positions 29 to 507 of the family's 1533-position model. The record is from RNAcentral.